Molecule: ribosomal RNA, 227 nt
Filed under: uncultured Nitrososphaerota archaeon
Lineage: Archaea; Thermoproteati; Nitrososphaerota
Description: uncultured thaumarchaeote partial 16S ribosomal RNA
Rfam family: Archaeal small subunit ribosomal RNA
Source: RNAcentral
ACGGUGAGGGAUGAAAGCUGGGGGAGCAAACCGGAUUAGAUACCCGGGUAGUCCCAGCUGUAAACGAUGCAGACUCGGUGAUGGGUUGGCUUUGCGCCAACCCAGUGCCGCAGGAAGCCGUUAAGUCUGCCGCCUGGGGAGUACGGUCGCAAGACCGAACRMAAGGAASRGACGGGGACCACACAAGGCAGAACCCGGCGGUUCAUUGAAUCCCAACGCCAGGGAAA